GGCGGGAUAGCACAGUGGUAGAGCACAUGCUCAGCAUGCAUGGGGCCCUGAGUUCAAUCCCCAGUACCUCCG
RNAcentral lists this transfer RNA (72 nucleotides) under Camelus bactrianus (Bactrian camel). It matches the Rfam family "tRNA". Rfam says of the family: Transfer RNA (tRNA) molecules are approximately 80 nucleotides in length. Their secondary structure includes four short double-helical elements and three loops (D, anti-codon, and T loops). RNAcentral also lists the same sequence under 2 other names. Lineage: Eukaryota; Metazoa; Chordata; Mammalia; Artiodactyla; Camelidae. The record is from Rfam by way of RNAcentral.